Molecule: transfer RNA, 72 nt
Filed under: Camelus bactrianus (Bactrian camel)
Lineage: Eukaryota; Metazoa; Chordata; Mammalia; Artiodactyla; Camelidae
Also listed under: 2 other names
Rfam family: tRNA
About the family: Transfer RNA (tRNA) molecules are approximately 80 nucleotides in length. Their secondary structure includes four short double-helical elements and three loops (D, anti-codon, and T loops).
Source: Rfam by way of RNAcentral
GAGGGUAUAGCUCGGUGGUAGAGUGGCUGCCUAGCAUGCACGAGGUCCUGGGUUCGAUCCCCAGUACCUCCA